AGAUGGAUCAUUCAUAAAUUAUAUUUAGUGAUGUGGUUACUUAUAUCCAACAUGAAAUGAGAGGUUUUGGUUGACCGGUGUGACUAUGGUUGACCUGACUAUGGUUGAUCCAUGUGACAUGGUUGAGACGUGUAACAAAUUUUUGUAAUGAAUGUGGUUUUCUGUUACAAUAUAGAGGAGAUAAAUCUAUUUACGCCUUUCAGCGAUGGAUGUCUCGGCUCUCAUAACGAUGAAGAACGCAGCUAGCUGCGACAUGCAGUGUGACAUGCGAACUUCUGUGAAUCACUAGAUUUUUGAACGCAAACGGUACUUCUAAAUUUAUUUAGGAGUAUGUUCACUUCAGUGCUUUUAUAUAUUUGUUGUCCUAAUUGGUGGUCAACGUGAAUAGUUGCUGUGAUUAUGGUAACUGUAAGCUAAUGGUAAUAACUUUUAGGUGACCGUGUAAAGUUCAUUACUAAGUUUAUUAAUAAGCCUGAAUUUGAGCAAGUAUACCCGCUGAACUUAAGCAUAUUAUUAAGCGGAGGAAAAGAAACUAACUAGGAUAUUUUUAGUAACUGCGAGUGAACAAAAUACAGCUCAAACUGGAAAUCGACAGUUCUCUGUCGAAUUGUAGUCUCAUGAAAUGCAGCCUGUAAAUGUUCUGAGUUAAGUCUCUUGGAAAAGAGUACCAAAGAGGGUGAAAGUCCCGUCUUUACUCAAGACUAUUUACUUUCGGUGCAUUUUCAAAGAGUCGCGUUCCUUGAGAUUGGAGCGCUAAGUGGGUGAUAAACUUCAUCUAAAGCUAAAUAUUAACGAGAGUCCGAUAGAGCAUAAGUAGCGUGAGCGAACGAUGAAAAGAACUUUGAAAAGAGAGUUAAAAGGUACUGAAAUUGCUGCAAUGGAAGUGGAGAGAAUCGACGGUCUAGCAGAGUUUUCUAUAUGCUCUGGAUAUUCUUUUAUCCACGAGUGUGUGGUAGAGAUUUUGCGGUGACUCUGGAAGUGAUUGUAUAAACUGGUUACGUUAUUGACAGGCUCUAUAUUAGGGCCAUGUCUUUAAUGUUUUCAGCCUGUGUGAUCUAUGUAUUUCUAAUUCAACAUUUCUGUUGAAUUAUACUCUUCCAGAUAUGUUGAUUCUCUCCUCCCCGUCUUGAAACACGGACCAAGGAGUCUACUUUAUGUGCGAGUACAAGGGUGGAAAACCUAUGUGCGAAAUGAAAGUGAUUGUUAGGAUGGUUUUACCUGCACUGACACUCGGCCACUGAGUCGAAGUAGAGCACAUAGAAUAGGACCCGAAAGAUGGUGAACUAUGCCUGAGUAGGGUGAAGCUAGAGGAAACUCUGGUGGAAGCUCGUAGCGAUACUGACGUGCAAAUCGUUCGUCAAACUUUGGUAUAGGGGCGAAAGACCAAUCGAACCAUCUAGUAGCUGGUUCCCUC
RNAcentral lists this unclassified non-coding RNA (1414 nucleotides) under uncultured fungus. Its description in RNAcentral is "sequence contains 18S rRNA gene, ITS1, 5.8S rRNA gene, ITS2, 28S rRNA gene". The stretch from base 469 to 1414 matches the Rfam family "Eukaryotic large subunit ribosomal RNA", at positions 1 to 961 of the family's 3401-position model. The record is from RNAcentral. Lineage: Eukaryota; Fungi.